RNAcentral lists this transfer RNA (72 nucleotides) under Lachnospiraceae bacterium. RNAcentral's name for it is "tRNA-Glu". It matches the Rfam family "tRNA". From Rfam's summary of the family: Transfer RNA (tRNA) molecules are approximately 80 nucleotides in length. Their secondary structure includes four short double-helical elements and three loops (D, anti-codon, and T loops). Further hydrogen bonds mediate the characteristic L-shaped molecular structure. tRNAs have two regions of fundamental functional importance: the anti-codon, which is responsible for specific mRNA codon recognition, and the 3' end, to which the tRNAs corresponding amino acid is attached (by aminoacyl-tRNA synthetases). tRNAs cope with the degeneracy of the genetic code in two manners: having more than one tRNA (with a specific anti-codon) for a particular amino acid; and 'wobble' base-pairing, i.e. permitting non-standard base-pairing at the 3rd anti-codon position. The record is from RNAcentral. Lineage: Bacteria; Bacillati; Bacillota; Clostridia; Lachnospirales; Lachnospiraceae.
GGUCUGUUGGUCAAGCGGUUAAGACGUCGCCCUCUCACGGCGAAAACAGGGGUUCGAUUCCCCUACAGACUG